RNAcentral lists this microRNA precursor (351 nucleotides) under Chlamydomonas reinhardtii. The record is from RNAcentral. Lineage: Eukaryota; Viridiplantae; Chlorophyta; Chlorophyceae; Chlamydomonadales; Chlamydomonadaceae.
AGUGAUAAAGUGGCUGUAGGGACACGCGCGGUAAGACCCCCCGCCCCAGAUAGUAUUUGCCAAUUGAGUUUGGACAAAUGGAGGCGCAUCCUCUUACAGCACACACACACACACACACACACACACACACACACACACACACACACACACACACACACACACACACACACACACACGCGACCUCGUCACGGAGUACGGCCAUGUCGCCGAGGCGUACGGCGCGGCACUACCAUGCACACCAUGCACCCGCGACACGUCGCGGCGCGUGUUCAAGCUAUCAGGGGAUAACUGGGUUCUGGGGGGUGGGGGGCUCUUCACGAACAGCCGACGCGGCCACUGCGGCCGCGCGCG